Choloepus didactylus (southern two-toed sloth) is the source of this 122-nucleotide long non-coding RNA. RefSeq lists it as uncharacterized. The record is from RefSeq and is a predicted model, not a curated record. Lineage: Eukaryota; Metazoa; Chordata; Mammalia; Pilosa; Megalonychidae. The transcript has 2 exons.
CUGACAGCCACUGACCCUGGAGGGGGCCUAGGUUAGGACAAUGACCCAAAAAGAUGGUUAAUCAUCAUUGAACUGAUAAAAAAAAAAAAGCCAUCUAUCUAUUUAAAGAGGGACCUUAACAA